CAGGAACAGAAGGAAAAGAAAGACAAAUUAAAAAUAAAUACGAAAAAAGGCGGCACAAUUGAAAAGGAAAAACAUAAGCACAUAGCACACUCUUCCUCCACUCCCCUUCAUUUCUGUAAUCUUAC
Molecule: non-coding RNA, 125 nt
Filed under: Palpitomonas bilix
Lineage: Eukaryota
Source: RNAcentral